AACGUCAGUGAUGAAACUCC
Molecule: microRNA, 20 nt
Filed under: Sphaeroforma arctica
Lineage: Eukaryota; Ichthyosporea; Ichthyophonida
Also listed under: 1 other name
Source: RNAcentral